Molecule: unclassified non-coding RNA, 21 nt
Filed under: Chlamydomonas reinhardtii
Lineage: Eukaryota; Viridiplantae; Chlorophyta; Chlorophyceae; Chlamydomonadales; Chlamydomonadaceae
Description: small RNA Cre_3388
Source: RNAcentral
UGGGGCAUCAAUUAUCAUUUG